RNAcentral lists this long non-coding RNA (612 nucleotides) under Nicotiana benthamiana. RNAcentral's name for it is "long non-coding RNA (NBEN_LNC007442)". The record is from RNAcentral. Lineage: Eukaryota; Viridiplantae; Streptophyta; Magnoliopsida; Solanales; Solanaceae.
UCACCUUCCCCAUAACAGACCUUAAACCCUACUCUGAAGCAAUAAAAACCCCUAAUUUGCCGCUUCUAAUCUGGCAGAAAUUCGCCGGAAACUACCAAGCGCCACCAGAAAUGGCGUCAAUAGUAUCAGAAAUAGUUCCAAAGUUCACCGCUGAAGCACUCAAAUCCGCAGCUAAACAAUCUGAACGUUGCCAUAUUGUUCCUCUCCACCUUUAAAACACUAUUCACCCCCCCUUCUAAUCUGAACGUUGCCAUAUUGUUCCUCUCCGCCUUCGUAAAGCUAUCAAAAAGUACCUCCGAGGUAAAUUUCAACUUUUAUUUUUAUUUUUGAUGCACUUUUGUUCAAACAUUGAUUUCAUUAGGAUGUCCCUGUUUAGAGUUUUUUUUGCUGAAAUAGUCCCUCAAUUAUUACAUUUCAUACUCAAAAUAUCACCGUUGACAUAUUUAUUCCUUCAAGAAUGCAAAAGUUGAAAUUGGCAAAAGGAUUAAUUUGUGAAACUCGGUGCAUGUGCUUGUGGGAGGCAGCAGGUACCAUGUGGAGUUAGUCCAGCUUGUGCCCGGACACCAUGGUUGUAAAAAAAGAUUAAUUUGUGACAAUGGUGGUUGCUUAUUG